UACCCCUGAAGAACAAUCUUCACUUCCUGUAGAAAAUGAUUCACUAGAGAAAGAACGUAUUGGCCCAUCUCGGGAUUCUGAAUUUGUAAAUACUAGUGUUGCAGCAAGUUCUUCUGUCUUAUCUGAUUCGAACAAGAAUCUUGUUCCUGAGGAAAAUAAGAAACCUACCGAGAAUAAUUUUCUGACAAAUAAUAUUAACCUCUCAAGAUAUAGAAUUGAAGAACCAAGCGGGGCUCUGUCCGAUUCUUUGGCUAAGCUUGAUGAUGACGAGAUGCUUGUGGCAGCAGAAAAAUCGGCUAACAUUAUGGUAAAAUCAGCAAAAACUGAGUUCACUUUAGCUUGCAGUAAAUCUGCUAACUUUUUGGUAAAAUGAUUGUAUUUUUUUUUUUUGUUCUGCAAUAAAGUUUAUUUCAAUGCUUGCUUUAAUUUUUUUGGGUGCUUCCUGUAAAUGUUUCAUUUUCCUGUGUGUUUUUGGGUGUGCAUUACAAUUUCUUUUGCUGUUUUUCUUAAUGUUCUUAAAUGAUAUUUUUUUAGUUUGUUGAUGUAAUUGUGGUUUGUGGGUUUGAAAAUUGAGUUCUUUCUGGUGAUGGCUUUUGAAGCUCAUUUUGUUUUUGGAUAUUUGUACUCUCUAGAUCUGUUUAUUCACUAUGAUUGCUUCCUUGAAUAUUAAUUUAUUAGUUUUCUAUUGGCAGACUGGGGUUAAACCCCUUGGUGGUGUUCCUGUGAAGAAAAGGAGGUUCAUUCUUCCUCCUUCACCUGCACGUGAUGUUCAAACUUUACCUGCUGUGGGAAAUGAUUCUCUACAGAAGGAACAUGGUAACUUGUCUCAGGAGUCAGCUCCUUCAAGUGCUUGUGUUGCAGGAAGUUCUUGCUUAU
Molecule: unclassified non-coding RNA, 876 nt
Filed under: Hevea brasiliensis (rubber tree)
Lineage: Eukaryota; Viridiplantae; Streptophyta; Magnoliopsida; Malpighiales; Euphorbiaceae
Source: RNAcentral